UUUGACAGAUGGAAUGAGCCAAUGUGCUUGAACCCUUUCGCGGAACAAUUAGUGUGUCGAGUUAUUAUUCGAAAUAUGAAUAAUUGAUUAAAGAUAUUUAAAUCCUUCAAUUAUCUAGUUUUCGCUGAUCUGGUACAUAUCAAAUUGAUAAGAAUGUUAGCUGUAUAAACAUUGUCAAAUGUAGUUAGAAUGUUAGAUAUUAUCCAGCAGACUAACCACGUGAGAUUCACAAGCUCAACUUAGAAGAAAUAUGUCCACACUCAAAGCCGUAUGCUAGACAUAAAAUGCAGCAGCAAAACAAUCAAUUCAGGAAAAGAGAAGUAACCUCAGUUUCAGAGAGCUUAUGUUG
This 349-nucleotide unclassified non-coding RNA is filed under the name Hevea brasiliensis (rubber tree). Lineage: Eukaryota; Viridiplantae; Streptophyta; Magnoliopsida; Malpighiales; Euphorbiaceae. The record is from RNAcentral.